AAAGUUAAGUAGUUUAAGUUGUGUGCAAGUGGUAGGAGAGCGUUCUAUUUGCGUCGAAGGUAUACCGGUAAGGAGUGCUGGAGCGAAUAGAAGUGAGCAUGCAGGCAUGAGUAGCGAUAAUUAAUGUGAGAAUCAUUAACGCCGUAAACCCAAGGUUUCCUACGCGAUGCUCGUCAUCGUAGGGUUAGUCGGGUCCUAAGUCGAGUCCGAAAGGGGUAGACGAUGGCAAAUUGGUUAAUAUUCCAAUACCAACAUUAGUGUGCGAUGGAAGGACGCUUAGGGCUAAGGGGGCUAGCGGAUGGAAGUGCUAGUCUAAGGUCGUAGGAGGUUAUACAGGCAAAUCCGUAUAACAAUACUCCGAGAACUGAAAGGCUUUUUGAAGUCUUCGGAUGGAUAGAAGAACCCCUGAUGCCGUCGAGCC
RNAcentral lists this ribosomal RNA (421 nucleotides) under Campylobacter coli. Its description in RNAcentral is "partial 23S ribosomal RNA". It matches the Rfam family "Bacterial large subunit ribosomal RNA", at positions 1196 to 1609 of the family's 2925-position model. Lineage: Bacteria; Pseudomonadati; Campylobacterota; Epsilonproteobacteria; Campylobacterales; Campylobacteraceae. The record is from RNAcentral.